UUUAUACCGCUCGAAUCAUUAUAAGUACCAAAUAGAAAAAUUUGAAGCUGAAAUCUGUCAAAACUCAAAAAUUUAAACUAGUGGUUCUAAUCUCGUUGAUAUUAAAUGGCAUAAUGAAUAAAAACGUAAUUUUGGGAAUAUUCGUGCAACGAUGUGAGUUUCCUAAUGUAUUUUCAGUGUCUGCGCUGCAUGUUCUUGAGAGUGUUAAGAGAAAUUAAAGGAAUCAACGUAAACUAUCGAAUUGGCAUUUGU
This 252-nucleotide long non-coding RNA is filed under the name Brassica napus (rape). RNAcentral's name for it is "long non-coding RNA (BNAP_LNC002468)". Lineage: Eukaryota; Viridiplantae; Streptophyta; Magnoliopsida; Brassicales; Brassicaceae. The record is from RNAcentral.